RNAcentral lists this ribosomal RNA (266 nucleotides) under uncultured bacterium. RNAcentral's name for it is "partial 16S ribosomal RNA". It matches the Rfam family "Bacterial small subunit ribosomal RNA", at positions 793 to 1055 of the family's 1533-position model. The record is from RNAcentral.
GUACACGCCGUAAACGAUGUCUACUAGCCGUUGGGUUCCUUGAGGACUUAGUGGCGCAGCUAACGCAAUAAGUAGACCGCCUGGGGAGUACGGUCGCAAGAUUAAAACUCAAAGGAAUUGACGGGGACCCGCACAAGCGGUGGAGUAUGUGGUUUAAUUCGAAGCAACGCGCAGAACCUUACCAGCUCUUGACAUGGGACGUAUAGGAAUCAGAGAUGAUUUCUUUCACUUCGGGUGCGUCCGCACAGGUGCUGCAUGGCUGUCGU